RNAcentral lists this microRNA precursor (257 nucleotides) under Medicago truncatula (barrel medic). Its description in RNAcentral is "MIR2646 microRNA precursor family". It matches the Rfam family "MIR2646 microRNA precursor family". The record is from Rfam by way of RNAcentral. Lineage: Eukaryota; Viridiplantae; Streptophyta; Magnoliopsida; Fabales; Fabaceae.
UCCCCAUGACAUUUAGUGCUGAUGUGUCUGUUUUUUUUAUCAAUUAACGUGUGCCACGUGUGUAAUUCCAUUUUUAAAAAAAAUAAAAAAAUGGUAUUUUUCAGAUUUUCAGCACUAAAUUCUAUUGUUGGUCACGUGCCUCCUUCUCUCAAAAUCUGAAAAAUACCAUUUUUUUAUAUUUUUAAAAAUGGAAUUACACACGUGGCACACGUUAAUUGAUAAAAAAACAGACACAUCAGCACUAAAUGUCAUGGGGA